Molecule: long non-coding RNA, 508 nt
Organism: Passer domesticus (house sparrow)
Lineage: Eukaryota; Metazoa; Chordata; Aves; Passeriformes; Passeridae
Exons: 3
Source: RefSeq, a predicted model, not a curated record
AGAGACAGUGAAGCCUUGUAAACUUUGGGGACAGAGCUGGAGUAGAUGAGGAAAUUACUGUCCAUGGAUGUCUUUACUGCUAGUCUUCUGGAGUCACAGCUGAGUUUGAAAGUACAGCACUAACUUGGGAUUCUGAUUGCUGAGUACCACAUGGUGCGAUGCUGAGAAGAAGGUCAUGCUUCAAACCCUGGGGAAGCGAAAGGGAAAGGGAAAGGAAGGGGAAGUUCCUGUUAUGUGAUCGUAGAACUGUCUGUUGAUCUGUUUGUUGUGAAAAGUCACGGAGAAAGGAGGUAAAACCUUGAAUGAUUGAAUGAACCUUCUUGAAUGUUGUCUGUGUGGAGACGGAAUCUCAUUACCUACAUCAUCAAAUGUCUCCCCGUUUCCAUAAGAAGGGGAACAAGAAAAGAAAAUACUUGUAAACAGCAGCUUUAGUCACAGAGUAUUGCUUCUGUCACAUUACUGGCAAUAGAGUGUAGCUCUGUACAAACUGCUGCCUGCCUGGGCUGCC